AAUUUUGGACAAUGGGGUAAACUCUGAUCCAGCAAUGCCGUGUGCAGGAUGAAGGCCCUCGGGUUGUAAACUGCUGUUGUACGGAACGAAAAGUCUUGGGCUAAUACCCUGGGAUCAUGACUGUAGCGUAACAAUAAGCACCGGCUCACUACGUGCCAGCAUCCGCGGUAAGACGUAGGGUGCAAGCGUUAAUCGGAAUUACUGGGCGUAAAGCGUGCGCAGGCGGUUUUGUAAGACAGUGGUGAAAUCCCCGGGCUCAACCUGGGAACUGCCAUUGUGACUGCAAGGCUGGAGUGCGGCAGAGGGGGAUGGAAUUCCGCGUGUAGCAGUGAAAUGCAUAGAUAUGCGGAGGAACACCGAUGGCGAAGGCAAUCCCCUGGGCCUGCACUGACGCUCAUGCACGAAAGCGUGGGGAGCAAACAGG
RNAcentral lists this ribosomal RNA (424 nucleotides) under uncultured bacterium. RNAcentral's name for it is "partial 16S ribosomal RNA". It matches the Rfam family "Bacterial small subunit ribosomal RNA", at positions 360 to 776 of the family's 1533-position model. The record is from RNAcentral.